UACGGAGGGUGCAAGCGUUAUCCGGAUUCACUGGGUUUAAAGGGUGCGUAGGUGGGCUGGUAAGUCAGUGGUGAAAUCUCCGGGCUUAACUCGGAAACUGCCAUUGAUACUAUCAGUCUUGAAUACCGUGGAGGUCAGUAGAAUAUGUCAUGUAGCGGUGAAUGCUUAGAUAUCUGGAGGAACACCGGUGGCGAAGGCGGCAUCCUGGACCGGCAUUGACGCUGAGGCGCGAAAGCCAGGGAGCAAGCGGG
Molecule: ribosomal RNA, 251 nt
Filed under: uncultured bacterium
Lineage: Bacteria
Description: partial 16S ribosomal RNA
Rfam family: Bacterial small subunit ribosomal RNA
Source: RNAcentral